Molecule: ribosomal RNA, 468 nt
Filed under: uncultured bacterium
Lineage: Bacteria
Description: partial 16S ribosomal RNA
Rfam family: Bacterial small subunit ribosomal RNA
Source: RNAcentral
GACGAACGCUGGCGGCGUGCUUAACACAUGCAAGUCGAACGGAAAGGCCCUGCUUUUGUGGGGUGCUCGAGUGGCGAACGGGUGAGUAACACGUGAGUAACCUGCCCUUGACUUUGGGAUAACUUCAGGAAACUGGGGCUAAUACCGGAUAGGAGCUCCUGCUGCAUGGUGGGGGUUGGAAAGUUUCGGCGGUUGGGGAUGGACUCGCGGCUUAUCAGCUUGUUGGUGGGGUAGUGGCUUACCAAGGCUUUGACGGGUAGCCGGCCUGAGAGGGUGACCGGCCACAUUGGGACUGAGAUACGGCCCAGACUCCUACGGGAGGCAGCGGUGGGGAAUAGUGCACAAGGGGCGGAGGCAUGAUGCAGCAACGCCGCGUGCGGGAUGACAGCCUUCGGUUUGUAAACCGCUGUCGCCUGUGACGAAGCGUUAGUGACGGUAAUGGGUAAAGAAGCACCGGCUAACUACGUG